UAGAGGGAAAUGAGUGAGCAGACAAACAGGCCAAGAAAGCAGCGGGAAGAGAAAUGUGGAUAUGGAAAUAAAGUAUAGUAAAGGGGAAAUAAAGAGUAUAGUUAAAGAAAGAGCAAAAAUGAACUGUCAGGAAGAACAGGAUAGAGGAAGUAAAGGAAGAGCAUACUACAACAUACAAAGGAAUGGUUAGAAAAGAGAGAUGAUGUGUAGGUGGCGGUAAUGCGCUGUAGGACGCAAGCUGCAAUUAAAAAAAAUCAAGAAGAAGAAGCAGAAGCAUAGACACAGGAACUGACACUGACUGUUUAGUUGAAGUAACCGAAACUUCUCAACAUUUUGCGUCUUAUAUUUAACUCUUGGCUCGGUGUGUUGUUCUGUUUGUGGUUGACUGGAGAAGCAAAUUGACACCGAACUGGUAAGAAAGUAAACGUACACACCUUUCUGUGCUUUAACCGUUUAAGCAAGCUAACUAGCUUUGGUCUCUUACUACGUGUGUGUACUAAUAUAAGAGUUGUGUUGAUACAGUGGUGUAACGUGUACGGUAGAAAAAUAAAGACGUAGGUUCAUAAUAUUUUAACUGGGUUGACUAGGCCAACUGGAACAGCUGUGGUGGGAUGCAACAGCCUCCAUGAGGAUGAAGCUGCGGAGAGAGAGAUGAGGGUGAUCAUAUGUAGAAGCUAGGAGUCUAAUCACUAACUAAAACUACCAAACCCAGCAGAACAGUAAUGCAUCACACAUCUUUACAAUAUUUGUGCAAAGCCACUGACAUGGCCCCAGAUGUUAUACUGAACAUAUUUACAUGCAGACAUUUACAUACUGCAAGUUUUUCUUCUUGGUAAUACAUUACAGUCAUAAUAUUUAAGUUCAAAGGCCCAUGAUGAUCUUUAUAAAUGACCAUUUUGGUUUGCACUUUUUUUUAGAGACGCUGGUGUCCACCAGAAAUUAGCUGAGUUUUGCCCUUAACGUCGUGACCGUGGUUGUUAAACAGGGAGAAGACGCUAUCUUGCCCUGCUCCAUCAGCAGCAAGGAGAACAUUAACGUCUUUUCAAAGAUCGGUCACAAGAACGCUUAGGUGCUCCACAAAACCCUACUGUCGCGAUAGCUGACGUGACAGAGGCAGGCGUUCUGCUGCAGUGUGUGGUUCAGUGUGCGUUUCCAGAGCCGACGCUGCAGUGGAAGGAUUGUGGAGGAAACCUCCUUCCUGCUGAGGAGCCACAGGUCUCAAAGAGAAGAGGCCACUAUGACGUCAUCCUCCAAACGACUGUGACCAGGACGACGAGCAACUGUUUCUGCUGUGAAGUCAAACAGGAUGAGAUCGGCCACGUUGUUAAUAAAAACAUCACCGAAAUAGAAACUGUUCUCUGAAACUGUUCUUGUCUGUGACAAGCCCAUCAUCACGGUUCCUGGAUUCAUGGCUGGAUUUUGUGCUGGACUUCUGACUCUUGCAGUAGCUGCAGGUGUUGUUCUCUUCAUAGGCAGGAAAUAUUUCAGAGUGGUCUUGAAGAAAGAUGAUCAGCGACAGAAGAGCUGUUCUAAUUGUGGCACCUCAGAGCCUCUCGCUUCAGGACCUGUGUAAUAGAUUUACUUGUGUGUUUGUAUGUGUACGUUUUAACUUGUUAAAUGGUCAUAGACGGCAGCAGCUAAACUGAUCCACUGGCUGGAUAAUAAUAAUUGAACUUUAUUCAUCCCACAUUGGGGGAAUUAAUGUCUGGAUUUCUGCCCGGGGGGACGAGUGGGCGGCAACAGUGCGGCGCCCGGGAAGGGGGGGGGGGCUGUGAUGUGUCUUUCUCAACACGCCUGGCGCCAGGCAUCACUAGACCAGGCCUCCUGAUGCUGUCAAAUAGAGUCACAUGUCAGAGCACUUCCUAGUAUUUCAGUGAGUGAGGGAUUAUAUAAACCAGUUUGUGCAGAUAGAGGUACCGAAGACAAUCUCUAAUCAAUGAUAAUGCCCAACACCAUGCUUCUGACCUUUUUAAAUCCAGUCCUGUCUGUGUAUUUGUGUCAAACACUACACAUCAGUCUGUCCUUCCUCCCACAGUCCAAAGAUGUAGUCAAGUUACCUGGAGACUGUCUGUAGGUGUGUGUGGCCUGUUCAGGUUAAACCCCUGCCCUCUGCGUUCACAAGUAUGAAGUGGUUUUGACGUUGAUUAAGUGCCACAAAAUAAGUGUUUUUACAUCAGAUUUUACAUCAGGUUUUCUGACCGCGGCCGUUUCGCUCCUGAUGCUUAGGUUGUGGGUUUGAAUCUAGCGGCAGGAGUAGCAAGCCAGUGUCUUCUGUGCUGGUCUGAGUAGAGGGGUUGUGUCAGGAAGGGAUCAGGCUUUAAAACUUGCCAAUAACAAACAUGCGCCUCAUUCGCUGUGGCGCCCGCUGUCAGGAUAAGCAGAAAGGAGUUCUCUCUGCUAGAUUUAUGUGUAGUAACUUAUGUCCAGUUUCCCUAAGCUUUAUUUAGAAGGGUUUUAAUUUCUUGUCAUUUCUGUAUGUAUAUAUGGGGUUAUGCUGGUGCUUUGUUAACACUAAAACUACUAAAGGACGUACACCUUUACAUAUACCCUAACAAGGGCUGGGUGUUCAUUUGUCCUGCACGCUCAAGCUGGCACCCUGCCAAGAGCCGCUUUUGUUACGUAUAGAGGGCCAUCACUAACGCACUCUAGGUGGUGGGUUGCGUGGGCUUGCUGACCCUGCUCCUGCCUGCAAGGCUGCACAGUUCCUAUGAGUCUAUGAGUGACAUCCACUGUUACAAUGUUCCACCGCUAUGUGCUUAGAUUUACAACGUGAAAGGACGAGUGUCAUUGUUGCGGUCUCACCGAAGGAAGCAAUAAGAUAUCAUCAUCAAUAAUACAAUAAGACAGUUUUGCUGCUUUGCUUAUUUACAAAAAAAAACUAAAUAAAGUUCACGCAUGAUUGCACUGUAACGUCACCAAAAAUGACAAAAAAACGUAACGUAAAAAACGGGACGUGGAUGGCCACGCCCACUUUCAUUCAACAGACAAAAGUGGGCGGACGGACAUGAAAGAGGGAAUAACGAAAUAAACAGCUGGUUAACUUUGUAGGAACAUGGCUGUAGCUCUGCAAUGACUUAUUAUGUGGUACAGGUGAAAGCAGUAAUAACGAAAUAAACGGAAUAUAAAACGGAAACGCUUUCAAGCGUUUUUUGGUUUAUAAUAUAUUUUUAAUUACACAUAUGUUAAAACUAGAUGGGUGAGCGGUGUACUGACGUCGUUUCUGUAAUUUUUGGUAACGCUACGGUGCAAUCAUGUGUGAACUUUAUUUAGUUUUUUGUAAAUAAGCGAAGCAGCAUAGCUGUCUUAUUGUAUUGUUGAUGAUGAUAUCUUAUUGCUUCCUUCGGUGAGACCGCAACAAUGACACUCGUCCUUUCACGUUGUAAAUCCAAGCACAUAGCGGUUGAACAUUGUAACAGUGGAUGUCACUCUUAGACUCAUAGGAACUGUGCAGCCUUGCAGACAGGAGCAGGGUCAGCAAGCCCACGCAACCCACCACCUAGAGUGCGUCAGUGAUGGCCCUCUUUACCUAACAAAGGCAGCUGUUCACAGAUGAUUCAGGGUCUCAGCUAGCCGAGCAGAUCAUUUGACCACCUUCUAGUGGGAAUGAGUAUAUUUAGAAAACCCAGUAGUCCUAUUAAUAGCUGUCAGUCUGAUGUUUGAUAUUUUGUAGUAAAGAAAAUACUGUACUGUAAAUACUGUAAUAUAUUUUAUAAAAGCUAUUUUCUCAUUGCUCCUUUUUUUAAAAAAAAUCUAUUUUGAAUUACUGAAUGUUUUUUACUUGUGUAUGAUAUGUGUAAUGUAUUGCAUUAAACAAUGCCUUUAAGCCUAAACCUGUAGCUCAAACUUGACUGUUCCUCUUAUGUCGUAACUCUAAUACUUUUUUUUUUAAAGCCAUUCUCUUUAUUUAUUCAUUCACGGCCAUCCGUUUCUGUAAAAUCUGUUUCUUGUUUAAAAGGAGACUGUAGUUGGUCAGUAUUUAAUGUAAUGAGUCAACAUCCACAUUCCAGGACAACCUGAACAAUAAUGACCCAAAUCCAUUCACCUGUUUUCAGCAACCCCUCACAUUAUGAUCUGUGUUGUCUGUUGGAUGUUUUUCUGUAUUUUUGUUGCUGGUUCCAUUGUUUUCUGUCUGUGUUGAGAACAAACAUAAGGUAAAACACUUUUCCUCUCUGGUUAAUAGCAUUUUUGAAUCUUGAAUGAAUAUGGGGAUUGUUUGAUUUGUUCUUUCUGCUCCGUGAUGUUAUUGUAAAAAGUGUGAGACACAAUAUAUGAAAUCUGCAAACAUGAACAGUGCACAUUUUUCUCUGUGGUUGAUUCAAAAUCAGCUGUAGAUCAAUUUAUGUCUCAGCAAUAAAAGCAAAAUGUACUGAACAUAUCAAAUAUAUUACUGAUAACAACAACACUUUAAGAGAAAGAAGAAUAAAAAAACAAAUGUGAAACAUG
This is a long non-coding RNA of Betta splendens (Siamese fighting fish), 4443 nucleotides long. RefSeq lists it as uncharacterized. The record is from RefSeq and is a predicted model, not a curated record. The transcript has 6 exons. NCBI's taxonomy places the organism in Eukaryota, Metazoa, Chordata, Actinopteri, Anabantiformes, Osphronemidae.